Molecule: ribosomal RNA, 319 nt
Filed under: Bacillus siamensis
Lineage: Bacteria; Bacillati; Bacillota; Bacilli; Caryophanales; Bacillaceae
Description: bacterial LSU rRNA
Rfam family: Bacterial large subunit ribosomal RNA
Source: RNAcentral
AAGCUGCGGACUGUUCUUCGAACAGUGGUAGGAGAGCGUUCUAAGGGCUGUGAAGCAAGACCGGAAGGACUUGUGGAGCGCUUAGAAGUGAGAAUGCCGGUAUGAGUAGCGAAAGAGGGGUGAGAAGCCCCUCCACCGAAUGCCUAAGGUUUCCUGAGGAAGGCUCGUCCGCUCAGGGUUAGUCGGGACCUAAGCCGAGGCCGAAAGGCGUAGGCGAUGGAUAACAGGUUGAUAUUCCUGUACCACCUCCUCACCAUUUGAGCAAUGGGGGGACGCAGGAGGAUAGGGUAAGCGCGGUAUUGGAUAUCCGCGUCCAAGC